Coregonus clupeaformis (lake whitefish) is the source of this 435-nucleotide non-coding RNA. Lineage: Eukaryota; Metazoa; Chordata; Actinopteri; Salmoniformes; Salmonidae. The record is from the annotation of a RefSeq genome assembly.
GUGAUCUUCACUGUAACAGCUGCAGCAUCACAACACAGAGAGGUUUUUGUACGAGCAGUAAUAGGGAUUGUAUCACUGUGGUGUACUUUUGGUAGCGGCACCAGACUAGAUGUUGGAAGUAACAGUUCCCCCACCCUCACCGUCCUGCCCCCCUCUAGUGAGGAACUGUCCAGUACAACAACAGCCACACUGACGUGUCUGGCCAACAAGGGCUUCCCCUCAGACUGGACCAUGAGCUGGAAAGUGGACGGGACCAGCAAGAAGCAGGAGGCCAGUCCCGGGGUCCUGGAGAAGGAUGGCCUGUACAGCUGGAGCAGCACCCUGACUCUCACUGCCCAGGAGUGGACCAAGGCAGGAGAGGUGACCUGUGAAGCCCAGCAGAAAUCCCAGACUCCAGUCACAAAGACCCUGAGGAGGGCUGACUGUUCUGGGUAG